RNAcentral lists this transfer RNA (85 nucleotides) under Felis catus (domestic cat). It matches the Rfam family "tRNA". From Rfam's summary of the family: Transfer RNA (tRNA) molecules are approximately 80 nucleotides in length. Their secondary structure includes four short double-helical elements and three loops (D, anti-codon, and T loops). Further hydrogen bonds mediate the characteristic L-shaped molecular structure. tRNAs have two regions of fundamental functional importance: the anti-codon, which is responsible for specific mRNA codon recognition, and the 3' end, to which the tRNAs corresponding amino acid is attached (by aminoacyl-tRNA synthetases). tRNAs cope with the degeneracy of the genetic code in two manners: having more than one tRNA (with a specific anti-codon) for a particular amino acid; and 'wobble' base-pairing, i.e. permitting non-standard base-pairing at the 3rd anti-codon position. The record is from Rfam by way of RNAcentral. Lineage: Eukaryota; Metazoa; Chordata; Mammalia; Carnivora; Felidae.
GCUUGGGUGGCUCAGUCGGUUAAGUGUCUGACUUCAGCUCAGGUCAUGAUCUUGCAGUUCGUGGGUUCAAGUCCCAUGUCAGGCU